RNAcentral lists this long non-coding RNA (1095 nucleotides) under Oryza sativa aromatic subgroup. RNAcentral describes it as "lncRNA OsARC_01g0014480". The record is from RNAcentral. Lineage: Eukaryota; Viridiplantae; Streptophyta; Magnoliopsida; Poales; Poaceae.
AUGGGCGACGAGGGGGAGCCGUCGCGUGAGCGUGAUCUGGGGAAGAAGCCGAUGGCCAUGGACGAAGGGGCGUCGCCGUGGCGUGGUCAGGCGAAGGAGGGAAACAAUCUGGAGGCGGCGCCGGUGCGGUGCUGCUCCUGCUCGCCGUGGGUGAUCGGCGACGAGAAGAAGCACCUGCCUCUGCUGUUCGUGUGCCCGCCGCGCCCGCGCGCCACCGUGCUCACCGCGCCCCGGCGCCUUCACCCCGACUCCGGCAAGUCAAGCUGCGUCCCCUACGUCAUCGUCGACGACGCCCUCCCCUCCGGCCGCUUCCUCCUCCGCGCCACCGACGGGUGGUACGGCCUCAACGGCGCCUACUACAUCUGCUGCGACUGCGACGCGCGCACCCGUGUCGCCACCCCGCCGCCUCCCUCCGGCUCCCUCGACCACCUCAACUUCCCGCGGCGGCGAAGCGUGGAGGACUCUCGCCACCGCGGCUACUGCCUGGUCGCGCAGGCGCAGCUCCACCCAACGUCGACGACCACCACCCAGCAGCACGAGACCGUCGUCGACUACCCAGCGCGGGACAACAAGUGGGACGUCAAGGAGUGCCCGCACCACCAGCGCGCGAUGGGGGGUUGCCACGGCGGCGUGCUCUGUUGCGCGGAUCUCCCCUACGGCUUCCUCACCAGCUGCGUCCCCUUCGCCGACGAGCUCCGCCGCCUGCGCUACGUCGAGCUUCCCCAAGGCUGCGUCAUGGUCGGCGACGACGAGAAGCACCACCGCUGGCUCUUCGCCACGGUGCGCGUGAAGAUCCAUGGCAUCCCGGACGCGCCGGUGGUGAGCUCGUGGACUCUAUGGGACAAGAUAAAGCAAUGUGUUCUAAAAGCUGUUGGGUGGCCUCUGCCUGUGGAGCACUCUUGGCUCAAUGUUCUUGGCCCUCCUAUCAAGCAAAUUGGCAACACAUGCUCUGUUUCUGCCGUUGCUCUCUGCAUCGAAGCUAAGUUCCACAAGUAUGGGUUCAGAUGUACCAUCGAAAGGCCACCACACAAACUUCUGCAGGACUGUCUUGAUAGUUCCUUUUUAGAACCUGAUGAAGGUAUCCCAGCAAUCAGA